Molecule: long non-coding RNA, 1532 nt
Organism: Cloeon dipterum
Lineage: Eukaryota; Metazoa; Arthropoda; Insecta; Ephemeroptera; Baetidae
Exons: 3
Source: RefSeq, a predicted model, not a curated record
CAAGCAUGAUGGUUGAGACGCGCUGAUUGCAUCAUCAUUUUCAGCAGAGUAUUUCGACGUGUUUUCGGUUGCGUUAUGACAGAUCGAACAUAUCAACGGAUUCUUGGACCGAUUGUGGGUGUUCCUGAUGUCCCGAAAGGCUUGCACCGCGUCCCGCCCUGAUUGAUUAUUUUGAUGUCCUCUGGUUGGGAACUUGGGAAAAGCUGCCUGAACGCGAUGGCCAUCCGGAUGACAAGCCUGGACAAGUUAACAAAACGGCCGCAGUAUCCGCAGGGUUUGUCUGCUGUUUUGUUUGCAUUUUCGGCUGACGUGAAAUGGAUGGGACUAUAUGGACCCCAAAGAUGUAAAGCAACGGCCAUGUUUGACAGGAUAAGUAGUGCUGGACGCUGGACACGAGUAGGGAUAUUGAGUGCUUUUCUUUGUAUGUUUUAUGGCGUUUUUUAUGUGUUGAAAUCUUUAAAACUAAUGUUAACAAGGCUCUAAUUUACUGCUCAAAUACGUAAAUUCACUUAACAAAUGUUCGCAACAACUGAAUUUAAUUCCAAUAACUAUUUUUUGAUUUUGUGUUUGCGGCAUAUUUUUAUUUUAGGUUUGCAUUCUCUAGAUGAAUAUUUCUAGAUUUCCCUGACAACUAAUUGUAGACACAACUAAUUUUUAAAUUAAUUUCUCUGAUAGUGAUCUCAUAAGUUUAAAAAUAUCAAUUGCAAAAGCCUUAAACGUUUCAAUUCAAUAACAAUAGAUGGUGCCACUGGUAUACUUCUGAUUUUAAUUCCCUCUCAUUGUGUUUUUUAUUAAAUACUGCUGCUGUGCCCUCUGGACUCAUAUUAUUAAUUUUAAUGUGCUCAAAACCAAAAUCAGUUACGCCAAUCACCCUAGAAACAUCAGCACAUUGAAAACAAAUGUAAUUACACUUCGACCAUGAUUGGCUUAACUGUUUUUGGUUUCCAGCACAUCAUAUAUAAUUAUUUAAAGGGUUGAAUGUUGAAUGCACAGCAGCAGGCCCGUGUCCUCUAUCUCAGUGAAAUCUUAUUAAAAUCAAAAGAAUGCCAAUUAAAGGCAGCCAAGGGGGAAUUCCCAACUGCAGGUAAACUCGUACAAUUAUUAUAAUCAUCCAAUAUUAUUUGUUCUGUUACUGCAUCACCUCAAAAAUUAAUAUGUUAUGGUUUUGAACGUUUUAACUAUUAAGUCUUAUUAAUUUGUAAGUGUGCAGUUCUCCGCAGUCUAUUUUUUGGUGUUGAAAAAUUGUUGUUUGCACUUGAUAAUUUAUUUUUUUAAUUGUAACUGCUUAUUCUGUUAUUGAAAGGUGGAAUGUAACUUAACUGCAUCAGGUAUAACCUUCGAAUUUUCACUGCCAAACCUAGUUUUCAAUUGUGAACGACUUUUAAUUCGCAGGUCAAAGGUCAUGGUCACCUUUCUUUUUUGAAAAUUCAAUAUUAAGGAAUGAUAGCCCUCUCAGAUUUUUUGGGGUUAGCCCGUGAAAAUCUGCACAAGCACACCAAGUUUUAGAAGUACCAAAAAUGUUUGCUGUAAUU